CUGCUGUGAUGCAUUGAUAUCGUGAUGAGAUGCCUUACAUGCUUAUGGAGAGAGUUCUUCAUGAGUAUGCGGUGGUGCCGCGAUCCUCGAUUCAUAAUCUCAGAUCAAGAGGCAUGACAUAUUGAAGAGAGCUAACCCCAACUUGCCCUCGAAUUACGUCGCUCUGAUGCAACUCCAAUAACGGAGACAGAAGGAGAAGCAACAACAAGAAGAAGAGAGGCUCCGAAAGCUCCAGGAGGAGGGGGAAGAGCGGCGGCGGUAACGG
This 265-nucleotide long non-coding RNA is filed under the name Elaeis guineensis (African oil palm). Its description in RNAcentral is "long non-coding RNA (EGUI_LNC050601)". Lineage: Eukaryota; Viridiplantae; Streptophyta; Magnoliopsida; Arecales; Arecaceae. The record is from RNAcentral.